AGGAGAGAAUAAAUAACAGCUUCAAGGGCCGUUUGAAGGGAAGGAAAAUAUUCUCAAAAGAGCGUUCAGCAGAAGCGAUAUUGAUUUCUUUCACUUCUGCCCUUGUGCACAGCGGGGCCCAUCGCGCCGCUCCCUCCGCCGCCGCCGCUCCCGCCUGCUUCCUUCAAUCUGUCGGGCGUGCCGACCGCCAUCGACCGUCGUCGGUGGAUAAAAAACCUCAUACGCCGGCACUUCGGUGACAUCCACACUAUCUCUUGUCCUUUCAGAGGGUAAAAAACACUCCGAGUGAUGCGGCCCCUCGGGGAGCGCUUCUGGGCUGUCAUGGCGGAGGCCCUGCUAUCCGUGUCCCGGCUUGACCACCGAGAGCGAUGAUGGAACCUCCUACGCGGCGCCUGGAAGGCCCACACUCACCCCCUGUUACGUAAGGCCUCGGUCCACGAUGGUGGAGUGACCCUCCGAGGCGGCCAUGUGGAGAGGGGUCUUGUCCACUUUGGUGCGGGCGUCCCGGCUGAACCCGGCACGCAGCAGCACCUCGGUGAUGGAGUGGUGGCCG
Long non-coding RNA from Pungitius pungitius (ninespine stickleback), 553 nucleotides. RefSeq lists it as uncharacterized. Lineage: Eukaryota; Metazoa; Chordata; Actinopteri; Perciformes; Gasterosteidae. The transcript is spliced from 3 exons. The record is from RefSeq and is a predicted model, not a curated record.